Molecule: ribosomal RNA, 464 nt
Filed under: Bacillus anthracis (anthrax bacterium)
Lineage: Bacteria; Bacillati; Bacillota; Bacilli; Caryophanales; Bacillaceae
Also listed under: 2 other names
Description: bacterial SSU rRNA
Rfam family: Bacterial small subunit ribosomal RNA
Source: RNAcentral
ACGGAGCACGCCGCGUGAGUGAUGAAGGCUUUCGGGUCGUAAAACUCUGUUGUUAGGGAAGAACAAGUGCUAGUUGAAUAAGCUGGCACCUUGACGGUACCUAACCAGAAAGCCACGGCUAACUACGUGCCAGCAGCCGCGGUAAUACGUAGGUGGCAAGCGUUAUCCGGAAUUAUUGGGCGUAAAGCGCGCGCAGGUGGUUUCUUAAGUCUGAUGUGAAAGCCCACGGCUCAACCGUGGAGGGUCAUUGGAAACUGGGAGACUUGAGUGCAGAAGAGGAAAGUGGAAUUCCAUGUGUAGCGGUGAAAUGCGUAGAGAUAUGGAGGAACACCAGUGGCGAAGGCGACUUUCUGGUCUGUAACUGACACUGAGGCGCGAAAGCGUGGGGAGCAAACAGGAUUAGAUACCCUGGUAGUCCACGCCGUAUACGAUGAGUGCUAAGUGUUAUAGGGUUUUUYCCCUUU